RNAcentral lists this ribosomal RNA (464 nucleotides) under uncultured bacterium. Its description in RNAcentral is "partial 16S ribosomal RNA". It matches the Rfam family "Bacterial small subunit ribosomal RNA", at positions 338 to 795 of the family's 1533-position model. The record is from RNAcentral.
CCUACGGGAGGCAGCAGUAGGGAAUUUUCGUCAAUGGGCGCAAGCCUGAACGAGCAAUGCCGCGUGAACGAGGAAGGUCUUCGGAUCGUAAAGUUCUGUUGAAGGGGAAAAAGAGCGGAGAGAGGAAAUGCUUUCUGAUUGAUAUUACCCUUCGAGGAAGUCACGGCUAACUACGUGCCAGCAGCCGCGGUAAUACGUAGGGGGCGAGCGUUAUCCGGAAUGAUGGGGCGGAACGGGGGCGUAGGCGGCCUGCUAAGUCUGGAGUGAAAGGUACCGGCUCAACCGGUACAGGCUCUGGAAACUGGUGGGCUAGAGAGCAGGAGAGGGAGGUGGAACUCCAUGUGUAGCGGUAAAAUGCGUAGAUAUAUGGAAGAACACCAGUGGCGAAGGCGGCCGCCUGGCCUGUUACUGACGCUGAGGCACGAAAGCGUGGGGAGCAAAUAGGAUUAGAUACCCCGGUAGUC